This 692-nucleotide long non-coding RNA is filed under the name Zonotrichia albicollis (white-throated sparrow). RNAcentral describes it as "lncRNA (ENSZALG00000015032.1)". Lineage: Eukaryota; Metazoa; Chordata; Aves; Passeriformes; Passerellidae. The record is from RNAcentral.
UUGGAAACGCUCUGUUUGUACAGUACCACAUCUUGUUUGUGUUAACCAACGUAGCAAGGCAGUUGUGCAGCUCUGGGAUGCAAAAGCCAGGGCAUUAACCUACAGUAAUGGGAUGUUAUUACAGAGGAAGAUGGAAAGUGGAUUCUGCCAGCAUCUGCCAGUGGGAAAAUUGUUAUGAGGCUUCCUCCUUACCCACAGGAACCAGAAGCUCAUUCUGCUGUGAAGAUUCAAGGAUUGUGGCAGUAGCAUGGCUUCAGGACCAUGAGAUUUAAGACAAGAGCUAAUUGACACAGCAGAACAGUGGUUACUACUCAGCAAAGAAGCAAGUCAGAAUGAAUAUGAAAACUGCUGCAAAGAAGUCAAAUUCUUGAAAGCAAGGAAAGAUUGGCAACAUCUACCAAGCUUCCCCAGCCUUCAAAAAUUGGGUGUGCAGGCUGUGGAUAUUCAGGGGCAUCCCACAGAGGUGUGAUCCUGACAGCAGCAGUGACAGCAGAAAAUGCACACAUUGGAAUGGGGACAGGCCCAAUCAGCUGGAAUCCCUUUGGUGAGAAAUUGUUUGCCUUAACAACUUUGGACACUGCAGAAAUUGCCUAAGCCUACCAGGAGAACCUGCAUUAAAAAUCACUGUUCGUGAGAAAGUGGCACACAGUUAAAACAACUGUAAGUGUGUAAUAAAUUUCCUGGACAAGUCA